CCAAUAGCGUAUAUUAAAGUUGCUGCAGUUAAAAAGCUCGUAGUUGAAUUUCGGGACCAAUAUGUCGGUCGUGCCUCGGUACGUACUGGCAUCGUUGGUUUCUCCCUUCUGACGAACCAUGAUGUCAUUUAUUUGGUGUCGUGGGGAAUCAGGACUGUUACUUUGAAAAAAUUAGAGUGUUUAAAGCAGGCUCACGCUUGAACACAUUAGAAUGGAAUAAUGAAAUAGGACGUUUGAUUCUAUUUUGUUGGUUUCUAGGAUUGACGUAAUGAUUAAUAGGGAUAGUUGGGGGCAUUAGUAUUCAAUUGUCAGAGGUGAAAUUCUUGGAUUUAUUGAAGACUAACUACUGCGAAAGCAUUUGCCAAGGAUGUUUUCAUUAAUCAAGAACGAAAGUUAGGGGAUCGAAGACGAUCAGAUACCGUCGUAGUCUUAACCAUAAACUAUGCCGACUAGGGAUCGGAUGAAGUUAAUUUUUUAAUGACUCAUUCGGCGCCUUACG
Molecule: ribosomal RNA, 499 nt
Filed under: uncultured Glomeromycotina
Lineage: Eukaryota; Fungi; Glomeromycota
Description: partial small subunit ribosomal RNA
Rfam family: Eukaryotic small subunit ribosomal RNA
Source: RNAcentral